Molecule: ribosomal RNA, 592 nt
Filed under: Bacillus sp. BC2(2008)
Lineage: Bacteria; Bacillati; Bacillota; Bacilli; Caryophanales; Bacillaceae
Description: bacterial SSU rRNA
Rfam family: Bacterial small subunit ribosomal RNA
Source: RNAcentral
UCAGCGGCGGACGGGUGAGUAACACGUGGGUAACCUGCCUGUAAGACUGGGAUAACUCCGGGAAACCGGGGCUAAUACCGGAUGCUUGAUUGAACCGCAUGGUUCAAUCAUAAAAGGUGGCUUUUAGCUACCACUUACAGAUGGACCCGCGGCGCAUUAGCUAGUUGGUGAGGUAACGGCUCACCAAGGCGACGAUGCGUAGCCGACCUGAGAGGGUGAUCGGCCACACUGGGACUGAGACACGGCCCAGACUCCUACGGGAGGCAGCAGUAGGGAAUCUUCCGCAAUGGACGAAAGUCUGACGGAGCAACGCCGCGUGAGUGAUGAAGGUUUUCGGAUCGUAAAACUCUGUUGUUAGGGAAGAACAAGUACCGUUCGAAUAGGGCGGUACCUUGACGGUACCUAACCAGAAAGCCACGGCUAACUACGUGCCAGCAGCCGCGGUAAUACGUAGGUGGCAAGCGUUGUCCGGAAUUAUUGGGCGUAAAGCGCGCGCAGGCGGUUUCUUAAGUCUGAUGUGAAAGCCCCCGGCUCAACCGGGGAGGGUCAUUGGAAACUGGGGAACUUGAGUGCAGAAGAGGAGAGUGGAAUU